AGGUAAUGUGUUAAAGCCCCUUACCAUAAGAAGUUUUGAACUUUUGGUUUCGGAUGCAAAACAAAUAAAACAAUUGUGUUUUAGUCUACCCUCAUCAUAUUAACAAAAAUUUUUGAACGCUAGCAGUCAGCAAUUCAUUUUUAUCGAGCAAGAUACUAUGUCGUUGAUUGAUAUGGACGAAAACUCGAAUGAGUUUAGCUUAACUGCUUACCAAUGGAAGGAAUUUGCCCAAAAUAUGAACGAUGUUUUCCUCAUUCUUAUUUCCAUCAUGGUCUUCUUCAUGCAGGCUGGAUUCGCUUUUUACGAGAUGGGCACAGUCAGAUCCAAAAAUACAACCAACAUCCUCAUGAAAAAUGUGCUUGAUUCCUCUAUAUCGAGUAUUAUUUACUGGGCUUGUGGAUACGCGUUCGCAUUCGGCUCAGAGUCGAACUCGUUUAUAGGCUUCAAGAACUUCUUUCUUUAUGACCUUGACCCAUCUAAAGGGUCUCACUACUUUUUUCAUUUCGUUUUUGCCGCUACAGCCGCGACAAUAGUUUCGGGUUCCAUGGCUGAACGAACCAAAUUUGGUGCAUACUUUAUAUACAGUCUUGCACUUUCUGGGUUUGUUUACCCGAUAGCAACACAUUGGGCUUGGGCUCCGAAUGGGUGGUUAGUCACGUGUUGUUGGUGGGAUUACGUGGCAUAUCGUGACUUCGCAGGAAGCGGUGUUCUUCACAUGUUGGGAGGAGCUGCAGCGUUAAUGGGCACUCUUUCUUUGGGACCACGAUUGGAACAGUUCAAUGACGGAAACCGAAAAAGAGUGAAAGGUCACACGGUACCAAUGACGGUUUUGGGCGCAUUUAUUCUUUUUAUGGGUUUCUUUGCCUUUAACGGCGGCGCUUACGGGAGAGUUUCAGAACCCGGCGAUGGUGCAAUCAUCGCACACAUACUCAACGUAACUAUACUUGGUGGCUCAGCUGGCGGACUUACAAUUGUGUUCAUUCACUACAUGAUCAACAAAAGUUCACGCUUUUAGGCUGCAUAAACGGUAUACUCACUGGUAUGGUCGCAACAUGUGCUGGUUGCGAUUCUAUACCAGCGUGGACUGCUUUGAUUACAGGCAUUUUGGGUGGUCUCGCCUUUAUCGCGUGCAGCGAACUCUUGUUCAAAUGGGGGGUCGAUGAUCCUCUCGACGCAUUUGCGGUGCAUUAUGGAGGGGGUGUGAUUGGAAUUGUGACAGUUUGCUUCUUCAAUAAGUAUACUGGAAUUAUCUUUUUUUAUGACUCGCACUCUUUCAAAGUUCUAAUUUGGAACAUGAUCGGUGGUAUUGCGAUCACUGUCUGGACUGUGAUAACUACAGGACCUCUGUUCUAUGGACUCAAAUUCUGGGGUCUAUUGAGGGUCUCUGAAGUCACCGAGAGGGAAGGGCUGGACUUCAAAGAACACGGCGAAGUCGCUUAUCCAGAGCAGAGUGCUUUCAAAAUGGAAGUCAUCCUCAACGAAAGAGAUACUCACGAGAAAUGUACUGUUUAAAACUAUUUUAACAGAAAACUCAGGACUAAAAAUAGGUAACCAAUUAUACAAUUUAACUAUUCAAUUACACAGACGCAUAAUAACAAAAAACGAAAACUGAAGAGUUGAAAUUAUUUCGGGAAAAACAUAAUGUCAACAACUUUUAACAACUUUUCAG
This is a long non-coding RNA of Symsagittifera roscoffensis, 1669 nucleotides long. RefSeq lists it as uncharacterized. The transcript has 3 exons. The record is from RefSeq and is a predicted model, not a curated record. NCBI's taxonomy places the organism in Eukaryota, Metazoa, Xenacoelomorpha, Acoela, Convolutidae.